AGGGAAUCUUCCGCAAUGGACGCAAGUCUGACGGAGCAACGCCGCGUGAGUGAAGAAGGUCUUCGGAUCGUAAAGCUCUGUUGUUAGAGAAGAACAGCGCAUAGAGUAACUGCUAUGCGUGUGACGGUAUCUAACCAGAAAGCCACGGCUAACUACGUGCCAGCAGCCGCGGUAAUACGUAGGUGGCGAGCGUUGUCCGGAUUUAUUGGGCGUAAAGGGAGUGUAGGCGGUCUUUUAAGUCUGAUGUGAAAGCCCACGGCUCAACCGUGGAGGGUCAUUGGAAACUGGGAGACUUGAGUGCAGAAGAGGAGAGCGGAAUUCCAUGUGUAGCGGUGAAAUGCGUAGAUAUAUGGAGGAACACCAGUGGCGAAGGCGGCUCUCUGGUCUGUAACUGACGCUGAGGCUCGAAAGCGUGGGGAGCAAACAGGAUUAGAUACCCUGGUAGUCCACGCCGUAAACGAUGAGUGCUAAGUGUUGGAGGGGUUCCACCCUUCAGUGCUGGAGUUAACGCAAUAAGCACUCCGCCUGGGGAGUACGGCCGCAAGGCUG
This 549-nucleotide ribosomal RNA is filed under the name uncultured bacterium. RNAcentral's name for it is "bacterial SSU rRNA". It matches the Rfam family "Bacterial small subunit ribosomal RNA", at positions 356 to 896 of the family's 1533-position model. The record is from RNAcentral.